This 299-nucleotide signal recognition particle RNA is filed under the name Saimiri boliviensis boliviensis (Bolivian squirrel monkey). Its description in RNAcentral is "Metazoan signal recognition particle RNA (ENSSBOG00000000480.1)". It matches the Rfam family "Metazoan signal recognition particle RNA". Rfam says of the family: The signal recognition particle (SRP) is a universally conserved ribonucleoprotein. Lineage: Eukaryota; Metazoa; Chordata; Mammalia; Primates; Cebidae. The record is from RNAcentral.
GCCCGGCGCCCUGACGCGUCCCAGUAAUCCCAGAUACUCCGCAGGCUCAGUUGCAAGGAUCGCUUCAGCCCCGGAGUUCUGGGUUGUAGUGCGCCACGCCUAGUGGGUGUCCGCUGUAAGUUCGGCAUCAGUAUGGUGACCUCCCAGGAGCUGAGGACUACCAGAUUGCCUGAGGACGGGUGAACCGACCCACCUCGGAAACCGAGCAGGUCAAAACACCGGUGCUGAUCAGUAUCUGGAUCGCGCCUGUCAAUAGGCACUGCUCUCCAGCCUCGGCAACAUAGCCAGACCCUGUCUCU